Molecule: ribosomal RNA, 253 nt
Filed under: uncultured prokaryote
Description: partial 16S ribosomal RNA
Rfam family: Bacterial small subunit ribosomal RNA
Source: RNAcentral
ACAGAGGGUGCAAGCGUUAAUCGGAAUUACUGGGCGUAAAGCGCGCGUAGGCGGUUGUGUAAGUUGGAUGUGAAAUCCCCGGGCUUAACCUGGGCACUGCAUUCAAAACUGCACGGCUAGAGUAUGGGAGAGGAAGGUAGAAUUCCAGGUGUAGCGGUGAAAUGCGUAGAUAUCGGGAGGAACAUCAGUGGCGAAGGCGGCUACCUGGCCCAAUACUGACACUCAGGUGCGACAGCGUGGGGAGCAAACAGGA